CCCUUAGAUGUUCUGGGCCGCACGCGUGCUACACUGAGUGGAUCAGCGGGUCAGGUUGCGCGAAAGUGUUUCCUAAUCUUGAAAUCCUCUCGUGAUGGGGAUUGACGGUUGCAAUUUUCCGUCAUGAACGAGGAAUACCUUGUAAGCGCGGGUCAUCAUCCCGCGCUGAAUACGUCCCUGCCCUUUGUACACACCGCCCGUCGCUCCUACCGAUUGAGUGGUCCGGUGAGGCUUUGGGAUCUGAGCAAAGAGAGCGUUUCGCUCGUUUUGCCCGGAAAACUCAGUCGAACCUUAUCAUUUAGAGGAAGGAGAAGUCGUAACA
RNAcentral lists this ribosomal RNA (322 nucleotides) under uncultured eukaryote. RNAcentral describes it as "partial 18S ribosomal RNA". It matches the Rfam family "Eukaryotic small subunit ribosomal RNA", at positions 1470 to 1796 of the family's 1831-position model. The record is from RNAcentral.